UACGUAGGGGGCAAGCGUUGUCCGGAUUUAUUGGGCGUAAAGAGCGUGUAGGCGGCUAGGUAGGUCCGUUGUGAAAACUCGAGGCUUAACCUCGAGAUGUCGGCGGAAACCAUCUGGCUAGAGUCCGGAAGAGGAGAGUGGAAUUCCUGGUGUAGCGGUGAAAUGCGCAGAUAUCAGGAAGAACACCCGUGGCGAAGGCGGCUCUCUGGGACGGUACUGACGCUGAGACGCGAAAGCGUGGGGAGCGAACAGG
RNAcentral lists this ribosomal RNA (253 nucleotides) under uncultured bacterium. Its description in RNAcentral is "partial 16S ribosomal RNA". It matches the Rfam family "Bacterial small subunit ribosomal RNA", at positions 524 to 776 of the family's 1533-position model. The record is from RNAcentral.